UACAGAGGUCUCAAGCGUUGUUCGGAAUCACUGGGCGUAAAGGGUGUGUAGGUGGCGUGGUAAGUCAGAUGUGAAAGCCCGGGGCUCAACCUCGGAAUUGCAUCCGAUACUGCCGUGCUAGAGUGCUUAAGAGGAGUCUAGAAUUCACGGUGUAGCAGUGAAAUGCGUAGAUAUCGUGAGGAAUACCAAAGGCGAAGGCAGGACUCUGGGAAGCUACUGACACUGAGACACGAAGGCCAGGGGAGCAAACGGG
RNAcentral lists this ribosomal RNA (253 nucleotides) under uncultured bacterium. Its description in RNAcentral is "partial 16S ribosomal RNA". It matches the Rfam family "Bacterial small subunit ribosomal RNA", at positions 524 to 776 of the family's 1533-position model. The record is from RNAcentral.